RNAcentral lists this long non-coding RNA (1237 nucleotides) under Falco tinnunculus (common kestrel). RNAcentral describes it as "lncRNA (ENSFTIG00000003386.1)". The record is from RNAcentral. Lineage: Eukaryota; Metazoa; Chordata; Aves; Falconiformes; Falconidae.
CCCCCCCCCCCCCCCCCGCGGCAAGUCUCCCGCGCGGAAGUGGGCGUGCCCAGCCGCCGCACAGCGCAUGCUCAGUGCGCGCCUGCUGACCCCCGUGCGGAGCGCGUAAGGGAGCGGGGCGCCGCGUGAUGCAUUUCCCGGGCGUUGAUUGGCUGCGGCUCCGGCGUGGAGGGCGGAGGGGUGGGUGCCGGUCACGUGGCGAGGGAGCGGCGCUCGGCCCAUCCCCCGUACCUUUGGGCGUGGCGAUAGCGAGGACCCGGGUUCGAUACCCGCGCCAGGCAAUCCCAGCGGCAGCCGUUGGGCAGCCCUUUCUCGCGGGAUUUCCCUACGAGGAAGGGAACAUCCUCCAUCCUCCCAUUCGUUGUUGCAAGUCCCUUAACCACGGGACAGGACGCCAGGUCAUGGAGACCUUACAAGUCCUCACAUCCCUACUGUCCUUCUGUUGGUACUGUCCUGCUCACCACAAGAAAGUCAAAAACUUCCACACUGUGUGGCUGGAUGACACCAUUUCACAGGCACAAGGUACGACCCUGAAAAAGCCUAAAUUGGUUUCAGAAUUCCCCUCUGCUGAUCAUCCUUCAAUGUUGUAAAACCUACACUCACGUCAAUAGAAACUGAUUUCAGGCACCUCCCAAGUUCUGCUUCAUGUCUCAAUGUCACUAAUUCCCCAUCAGGGACUCCUCUUUUGAUACCCCUGGCAGGCUGACAAGAAGUCCCAAAUGUGUCCUUCCCACAGGUGCUUUUGAGUGUUUCACUUGGCACAUUUCCACCUAUUCUUCCAUCAGUGGUUGUGCUCGGUGCUUUCACAUGAUACUCGUUGUAGCAUGGGUGGCACAAGGGAUUAUGAUUAGAAAUAACACCCAUCUCUGAGCUAUGUAAGCACAGGCAGAGGAACUGACAGCUGAGCAGAGAGCAAGUUCACAUGAGCACCUUUGCAAUGUCUGUUGAACUGGCACAGCCAUUAUCUGCAAAGGAUACUCGCCAGGCACCUUCAGCAGAAUCCCUUCUAAUAAUUACAAAACCAGACAGAAAACAUACCUUGUAAGGCAAGUUUGCAAGAGGGUUGUUUAUGAUCUCUGGUCUGGUACAUCAGAUUCACAAACAGUGAAAGCAUCAGACUAUAAGGGGACUAGAAGCUGGGUCGCAACCACUCUAUCUAGUGUAUCCUCACAUGGAAAAGGAGAAUGAAGAAGCACCAGCCUGAAGACAGACCUGAUAAACACAGCUAGCCAAAAAG